CAGCAUCUGAUGAAUUACUCGGAUUCCCCUUCAAGACAUUAUGAAUGAUGCAAUUUCGAGUUUCUGAUGCA
Molecule: small nucleolar RNA, 71 nt
Organism: Vitis vinifera (wine grape)
Lineage: Eukaryota; Viridiplantae; Streptophyta; Magnoliopsida; Vitales; Vitaceae
Rfam family: Small nucleolar RNA snoR60
About the family: snoR60 is a member of the C/D class of snoRNA which contain the C (UGAUGA) and D (CUGA) box motifs. Most of the members of the box C/D family function in directing site-specific 2'-O-methylation of substrate RNAs.
Source: Rfam